RNAcentral lists this ribosomal RNA (253 nucleotides) under uncultured bacterium. Its description in RNAcentral is "partial 16S ribosomal RNA". It matches the Rfam family "Bacterial small subunit ribosomal RNA", at positions 524 to 776 of the family's 1533-position model. The record is from RNAcentral.
UACGUAGGUGGCAAGCGUUGUCCGGAUUUAUUGGGUUUAAAGGGUGCGUAGGCGGCGCCAUAAGUCAGUGCUGAAAUAUCCCGGCUUAACCGGGAGGGUGGCAUUGAUACUGUGGUGCUUGAGUGUAGUCGAGGUAGGCGGAAUUGACGGUGUAGCGGUGAAAUGCUUAGAUAUCGUCAAGAACACCGAUAGUGUAGACAGCUUACUAGGCUACAACUGACGCUGAGGCACGAAAGUGUGGGGAUCAAACAGG